AUGAAGUUUUCGGAUGGAAUUCUGUAUAACCUAGUGGCGGACGGGUGAGUAACACGUAUCCAACCUGCCUUUCAGAGGGGGAUAACAUUUGGAAACGACUGCUAAUACCGCAUAACACAUAGGGGUCGCAUGGCCUUUAUGUCAAAGAUUUAUCGCUGAAAGAUGGCCUCGCGUCUGAUUAGCUAGUUGGUGAGGUAACGGCCCACCAAGGCGACGAUCAGUAGCCGGACUGAGAGGUUGAACGGCCACAUUGGAACUGAAACACGGUCCAAACUCC
This 277-nucleotide ribosomal RNA is filed under the name uncultured Eubacteriales bacterium. Its description in RNAcentral is "uncultured Clostridiales bacterium partial 16S ribosomal RNA". It matches the Rfam family "Bacterial small subunit ribosomal RNA", at positions 66 to 339 of the family's 1533-position model. Lineage: Bacteria; Bacillati; Bacillota; Clostridia; Eubacteriales. The record is from RNAcentral.